Molecule: unclassified non-coding RNA, 1698 nt
Filed under: Leishmania donovani
Lineage: Eukaryota; Euglenozoa; Kinetoplastea; Trypanosomatida; Trypanosomatidae
Description: gene:unknown
Source: RNAcentral
CCAGUCUCUCCCGUUCACAGGGUUCUGCAGUGCUCUCGCAGCAGUGCGAAAGGGAGGCAACCUCGCGCGAGGGAAGCACGCGUAGACGAAGAGCAGCGGAAUGUAUGCAUGCCCAUCGUAUGGCAUGUUUGCAUACUUGCCUUCAUUUCCCUCGUCUCAGCGCCAUCGUGCUGUACAGGUCUACUGGAGACGGCCUGUUUGGCCACGGAUGAGGGCACCCCGCGCCCGUCCUGGUGCGGGCAGAGGUGCACUGCAGGGUUGAGGCUGCACAUCAUCCUCCCUGGUAUGCAAUGGCCAGUGGCUGUGGAACGCAGGUUCUCUUCAUCCGUAACCCACUUUUCAUUCACUAUCCCGCUUCGCCACCCAUUUCGUAGCCGGGACGCGGGGUCUGAUACGGCGCCCCUAGUCAUGGCGCAGAUGCCUGAACGCGCUACAUUUCUCAUAUCCUUUUUUUUGCCGGUGAGGUAGGGCUGUCGCCGAUAUGCGCAAUCGGUGCAUAUUGCGUGCGCCCCACGCGUAGCGCACAUGGGAUUGUUCCUCUGCACUUUACCCCUACUUCUGCGGGUUUCAGACUAUGGAUCUCUCGCGCUUGCUUGCGCUCCAUGGCAAAUUUUAUCCGCAUCCCCCUCAUGAGGCUCAGCGCCUUUUUUGAUUGUUUUCCUUUUUGGCUUUUCGUUUUUUUUUUGUAACCCCGCUUUCCCCGUUAAGCAUUCAUACUUCAGUGUUGUUGUUUUCAAAAGUGUCAGCGCUGCGCGCGCCCUCGUCGUCCCUUUCCUUUUCGUGUGCUUCCGAAUUUCGUUUGCCCCGAUUUUUUUCUGCGGCGGGUCAUAUGACUGUCUGCACGCAUUUGCCUCGAUCCGAACGAAAAAAAAAAACAAAAAACCCGCACCACUGACGCAACCAGUGCCGCUACCAAGCAGAUGCCCUGAUGCUGAUGGUCACUUGAGCUGCGCGACAGGGUGAUGCGCGGCCCGACAAGGAGCGGCUCAGACCGUUAACGUCAUACUUCACGCGCUCUUCUUUCCCAAUACCUUCUCGGUUUCCCUACGAGGGGAGUGGACACCCUUUUCAGUGCGUGGUAUCUCAGGGUCCAGCGCACCCCCUCUACCCCUCUGCCAAGUGCCGAGCCACCUCUGGUGGUGGCAGGGCCAGGUGCCUAGGACGCAGGAAAGCCAGGUCGACUCGCCGCUACUGAUGCCAGCGGCCAGGCAGUGGAUGGGGCUGCGUCGGGUCGACCUGCGACAGUGGACGCACUCGUGCCAUCCAUGCGAUGGGCAGGGUGUGUCGACGCGGCUCGAGCGUAUCCCCACCCCCGGCCCUCACCGACUACUGGUGAGUGGGCCUGGGCCACCGGGAGGGGGAUGCGGCAGGUGACGACGGCCGUGGUAUGAGCGGCUGCGAGGCGUGGGGUGGGUAGGGCUUCGCGCGAAGGACGCGGUCUCAGAUGGGCGAGCUCGCUUAUUGCGGUGGCGUUUGGCUACCGCUGCACUGCACCACGCCGAUGGUUCGGCGGCAGGCUGGGGGUAGAAUGGUGUUUGAAUUCACGCUCCAUGUAAGAGAAUGGGCUUCCGUGCAGUGAAAAAUGCUUCGACAAUUUCUAUCAGCCCCCACUUGCCACACCCGCCCCUGUCCUUUGGCCAUCGUGAAACGCGCCCCGCUGGCCGUCCACGCCCCUCCCGCUCCGAGCCACGGCGAAAG